GACGUAGGGUGCGAGCGUUGUCCGGAUUUAUUGGGCGUAAAGAGCUCGUAGGCGGCUCGUCGCGUCGACCGUGAAAACCUGUGGCUUAACUACAGGCUUGCGGUUGAUACGGGCGGGCUAGAGUUCGGUAGGGGAGACUGGAAUUCCUGGUGUAGCGGUGAAAUGCGCAGAUAUCAGGAGGAACACCGGUGGCGAAGGCGGGUCUCUGGGCCGAUACUGACGCUGAGGAGCGAAAGCGUGGGGAGCGAACAGGAUUAGAAACCCGAGUAGUCC
Molecule: ribosomal RNA, 273 nt
Filed under: uncultured bacterium
Lineage: Bacteria
Description: partial 16S ribosomal RNA
Rfam family: Bacterial small subunit ribosomal RNA
Source: RNAcentral